RNAcentral lists this ribosomal RNA (454 nucleotides) under uncultured bacterium. Its description in RNAcentral is "partial 16S ribosomal RNA". It matches the Rfam family "Bacterial small subunit ribosomal RNA", at positions 28 to 507 of the family's 1533-position model. The record is from RNAcentral.
GAUGAACGCUGACAGAAUGCUUAACACAUGCAAGUCAACUUGAACUUCGGUUUGGGUGUCGGACGGGUGAGUAACGCGUAAAUAACUUGCCUCACAGAUAGGUACAACAUUUGGAAACGAAUGCUAAUACCUGAUAUUCUGAUUUUAGGUCAUCCUAGGAUUAUGAAAGCUAUAUGCGCUGUGAGAGAGCUUUGCGUCCCAUUAGCUAGUUGGAGAGGUAACGGCUCACCAAGGCGAUGAUGGGUAGCCGGCCUGAGAGGGUGAUCGGCCACAAGGGGACUGAGACACGGCCCUAACUCCUACGGGAGGCAACAGUGGGGAAUAUUGGACAAUGGACCAAGAGUCUGAUCCAGCAAUUCUGUGUGAACGAUGAAGUUUUUCGGAAUGUAAAGUGCUUUCAGUUGGGAAGAAAAAAAUGACGGUACCAACAGAAGAAGUGACGGCUAAAUACGUG